CAGGUAAUGCUGGGUUCAAGGUUUGGCUGU
RNAcentral lists this non-coding RNA (30 nucleotides) under Homo sapiens (human). The record is from RNAcentral. Lineage: Eukaryota; Metazoa; Chordata; Mammalia; Primates; Hominidae.